This 508-nucleotide ribosomal RNA is filed under the name uncultured bacterium. RNAcentral describes it as "bacterial SSU rRNA". It matches the Rfam family "Bacterial small subunit ribosomal RNA", at positions 8 to 526 of the family's 1533-position model. The record is from RNAcentral.
AGAGUUUGAUCAUGGCUCAGGAUGAACGCUGGCGGCGUGCCUAAUACAUGCAAGUCGAACGAGGUGCUUUUGUAGCAAUACGAGAGUAUCCUAGUGGCGAACGGGUGAGUAACGCGUUGGUGACCUACCCCAAAGUGUGGGAUAACAGUCCGAAAGGACUGCUAAUACCGCAUGUGGUUAUUGGAUUUAGAAACCGGUAACUAAAGGAGCAAUUCGCUUUGGGAGGGACCCGCGUCCCAUCAGCUAGUUGGUGAGGUAAUGGCUCACCAAGGCGACGACGGGUAGGGGACCUGAGAGGGUGGCCCCCCACAAUGGAACUGAAACACGGUCCAUACACCUACGGGUGGCAGCAGUAGGGAAUAUUGGUCAAUGGGCGAAAGCCUGAACCAGCAACGCCGCGUGUGUGAUGAAGGCCUUCGGGUCGUAAAGCACUUUUCUGGGAGAUGAGAAAGGACAGUAUCCCAGGAAUAAGUCUCGGCUAACUACGUGCCAGCAGCCGCGGUAAUUC